This is a long non-coding RNA of Culex quinquefasciatus (southern house mosquito), 1010 nucleotides long. RefSeq lists it as uncharacterized. The transcript is spliced from 3 exons. NCBI's taxonomy places the organism in Eukaryota, Metazoa, Arthropoda, Insecta, Diptera, Culicidae. The record is from RefSeq and is a predicted model, not a curated record.
CUAUCGCUUGUACGUAGUACAAUCUCUGGUCACAAUGCUUCGCAUCAUCCUGUCAAACUGAACCGUAGGGACAAGUUAGGAUAUUGUAAUCAACCAUUACACUUAAACAACAUACAAAACAUGGUAUCCCUAUUCCUAAAACGGUUAGCACGACUCACAUCUCUUUGAGCAAUUUUCGAAAUACGCAAGAACAAAGACUUAAAAUUAAUAAAAGGGACUUCGUCAUUUUGAAUCGUCCUCAUUUGCCGCUACCGACCAGAGUCCGUUACACAUACUCUGGUCAAACGAAGAAUUUGUGAUCGUUUUGUAAUUUAAAGUGCUGUGAAUAUCUGUUAUUUGUACCCAGCAUUCCUGUAGCCGGCGAAAUGUGUCAGGGAGUUGGUCCCAACCCGAACCAUCCAAACUAACCGUCAAGGACCGCGCUCUACGCUAAAAGUGGUCGUUUGGUUGGUGGUGCAAGGAGGUAACAAAAAUGUGAACCUCCAAGUUGGCAGAGCGCGCCAACCCGAGAAUCUGUUAGAGCGCAAUGGCGGAGGCCAUCCGGUGAGUUCAUUGUUACCACUGUUACACAAAGCACAAGUACUAAAACAAGCCUUAAACACUGUACAGGUUUUUAUCAAAGACAAAGACACAAAACCAAAGACACCAAAACCGUUGCUGCGCCAGGCCUGGCCGGAGGAAGAUCCUCCGACUUGACUCGACCACCGCGGGAUACACUAGAACACACGAACACACACACACAUGGUUAGGUUAGUUUUAAAACGACGAAAAACAAUAAAUUAGGACAUUUAAAUGCAAUAAACAUGACUUUUUCCAUAACCCAAAGCGACGAUCUUUUGUGAUUCUUUUUGCCAGGACAGUGCGAUUAGCUGAAUCGAACCAGGAUUGUGAAAGGGUAGGUACAAUUCUCCUUCCCCACGUCAAAUGUGAGCAGUUGCAGAUCUUUACAUCUCUCUCUCAUCUCCAAGAGUCUCAAGUUCUGGUUUUUAUUUAAUUUUUAAUUAAUGAAC